Molecule: ribosomal RNA, 422 nt
Filed under: uncultured bacterium
Lineage: Bacteria
Description: bacterial SSU rRNA
Rfam family: Bacterial small subunit ribosomal RNA
Source: RNAcentral
AUUGAACGCUGGCGGAAUGCUUUACACAUGCAAGUCGAGCGGCAGCGCGGGGGCAACCCUGGCGGCGAGCGGCGAACGGGUGAGUAACAUAUCGGAACGUACCCCGUCGUGGGGAUAACACAGCGAAAGCUGUGCUAAUACCGCAUACGACCUGAGGGUGAAAGCGGGGGAUCGCAAGACCUCGCGCGAUGGGAGCGGCCGAUAUCGGAUUAGCUUGUUGGUGAGGUAAAGGCUCACCAAGGCGACGAUCCGUAGCUGGUCUGAGAGGACGACCAGCCACACUGGAACUGAGACACGGUCCAGACUCCUACGGGAGGCAGCAGUGGGGAAUUUUGGACAAUGGGGGCAACCCUGAUCCAGCCAUGCCGCGUGAGUGAAGAAGGCCUCGGUUGUAAGACUCUUCGGUCCGGGAACGGAAAUAC